This 65-nucleotide transfer RNA is filed under the name Leptalina unicolor. RNAcentral's name for it is "tRNA-Phe". The record is from RNAcentral. Lineage: Eukaryota; Metazoa; Arthropoda; Insecta; Lepidoptera; Hesperiidae.
AUUUAAAUAGCUCAAUUAAGAGUUUAAUAUUGAAGAUAUUAAGGUGAUUUUAUAAUCUUUAAAUA